RNAcentral lists this ribosomal RNA (403 nucleotides) under uncultured bacterium. RNAcentral's name for it is "partial 16S ribosomal RNA". It matches the Rfam family "Bacterial small subunit ribosomal RNA", at positions 355 to 774 of the family's 1533-position model. The record is from RNAcentral.
UGGGGAAUAUUGGGCAAUGGAUGAAAGUCUGACCCAGCGACGCCGCGUGAAUGAUGAAGGUCUUCGGAUUGUAAAGUUCUUUUAUACGGGAAGAGAAGAAGACGGUACCGUAUGAAUAAGUCCCGGCUAACUACGUGCCAGCAGCCGCGGUAAUACGUAGGGGACGAGCGUUGUCCGGAAUUACUGGGCGUAAAGGGCAUGUAGGCUGUUUAACAAGUCAGUAGUAAAAGAGUGAGGCUUAACCUUAUUGAGCUAUUGAGACUGUUAGACUGGAGUACUGAAGAGGCAAGGGGAAUUCCCGGUGUAGCGGUGAAAUGCGUAGAUAUCGGGAAGAACACCGGUGGCGAAGGCGACUUGCUGGUCAGUAACUGACGCUGAGGUGCGAAAGCCAGGGUAGCAAACG